Molecule: unclassified non-coding RNA, 197 nt
Filed under: soil metagenome
Description: partial internal transcribed spacer 1
Source: RNAcentral
UAAUGAGUGUUUAUGGCACUCUUUCAAAAUCCAUAUCCACCUUGUGUGCAAUGUAAAAGAGGAAAAAAGAGAAUGAGAGCGGCUAGAGCUCUUUGAGUUUUGGCUUGUUUCUAUUUCUUUUUUUUUCCUUCUUUUCUAAUACACCUUUCUAUUAAUCUAUUGUCUAAAGUCUAUUAUGAAUGAAAUAAUUCAAAAUA